Molecule: long non-coding RNA, 379 nt
Filed under: Gallus gallus (chicken)
Lineage: Eukaryota; Metazoa; Chordata; Aves; Galliformes; Phasianidae
Source: RNAcentral
CUUUGGCUGCUGCUUUUUGUGUGCCAGCCCCAUUUGCCCAGUCUGCCCGCCUCUGUGAUCCCCCGCAGCACUGGCUGGAAGUCCGCCGCGUGUCAGUGAGGAGCUGCUGCAGAAGGAAGAAGAAGAAGCGGCGUGGGACCUGGGAGGCAGGAGCAAGCAAGAAGAGGAAGCGGAAGCGUGCAGAUGCGGGGGGGAAGGAGAGAGGCUCCCUGGGCAAAGCACCUGUCCCGUUAGCAGGGGCACAGUCACGUUUGAGUUGAGAGCUGCCGGCGCCUUUGGUGACCAGGCUGGCGUUGUGCUGGGCGACCUCCCCGUAAGCGGGGCUCGGGUCUUUGCUGUAGUUGGCCUUUUGCCUUGCUGCUCCUUUGGCUGCCUGGGG